UGGCUAAUACCGGGAUGUGCCGAGAGGUGAAAGGUUAACUGCCUGGAGAUGAGCUCGCGUCUGAUUAGCUAGUUGGUGGUGUAAGGGACUACCAAGGCGACGAUCAGUAGCUGGUCUGAGAGGAUGAUCAGCCACACUGGAACUGAGACACGGUCCAGACUCCUACGGGAGGCAGCAGUGGGGAAUUUUCCGCAAUGGGCGAAAGCCUGACGGAGCAAUACCGCGUGAGGGAGGAAGGCUCUUGGGUUGUAAACCUCUUUUCUCAGGGAAUAAGCAAGUGAAGGUACCUGAGGAAUCAGCAUCGGCUAACUCCGUGCCAGCAGCCGCGGUAAUACGGAGGAUGCAAGCGUUAUCCGGAAUGAUUGGGCGUAAAGCGUCCGUAGGUAGCAGUGUGUGUCUAUUGUUAAAGAGUUUGGCUUAACCAAAUAAAGGCGGUAGAAACUACACAGCUAGGGUGCGUUCGGGGCAGAGGGAAUUCCUGGUGUAGCGGUGAAAUGCGUACAGAUCAGGAAGAACACCGGUGGCGAAAGCGCUCUGCUAGGCCGCAACUGACACUG
This 557-nucleotide ribosomal RNA is filed under the name Neowestiellopsis sp. NC-DW (S1). RNAcentral's name for it is "bacterial SSU rRNA". It matches the Rfam family "Bacterial small subunit ribosomal RNA", at positions 160 to 748 of the family's 1533-position model. The record is from RNAcentral. Lineage: Bacteria; Bacillati; Cyanobacteriota; Cyanophyceae; Nostocales; Hapalosiphonaceae.